GGGACACGUGGUAUCCUGUCUGAAUAUGGGGGGACCAUCCUCCAAGGCUAAAUACUCCUGACUGACCGAUAGUGAACCAGUACCGUGAGGGAAAGGCGAAAAGAACCCCGGCGAGGGGAGUGAAAAAGAACCUGAAACCGUGUACGUACAAGCAGUGGGAGCACCUUCGGGUGUGACUGCGUACCUUUUGUAUAAUGGGUCAGCGACUUAUAUUCUGUAGCAAGGUUAACCGUAUAGGGGAGCCGCAGGGAAACCGAGUCUUAACUGGGCGUUAAGUUGCAGGGUAUAGACCCGAAACCCGGUGAUCUAGCCAUGGGCAGGUUGAAGGUUGGGUAACACUAACUGGAGGACCGAACCGACUAAUGUUGAAAAAUUAGCGGAUGACUUGUGGCUGGGGGUGAAAGGCCAAUCAAACCGGGAGAUAGCUGGUUCUCCCCGAAAGCUAUUUAGGUAGCGCCUCGUGAAUUCAUCUUCGGGGGUAGAGCACUGUUUCGGCUAGGGGGUCAUCCCGACUUACCAACCCGAUGCAAACUACGAAUACCGAAGAAUGUUAUCACGGGAGACACACGGCGGGUGCUAACGUCCGUCGUGAAGAGGGAAACAACCCAGACCGCCAGCUAAGGUCCCAAAGUCACAGUUAAGUGGGAAACGAUGUGGGAAGGCACAGACAGCCAGGAUGUUGGCUUAGAAGCAGCCAUCAUUUAAAGAAAGCGUAAUAGCUCACUGGUCGAGUCGGCCUGCGCGGAAGAUGUAACGGGGCUAAACUGUGCACCGAAGCUGCGGCAGCGACACUAUGUGUUGUUGGGUAGGGGAGCGUUCUGUAAGCCUGCGAAGGUGGCCUGUGAGGGUUGCUGGAGGUAUCAGAAGUGCGAAUGCUGACAUAAGUAACGAUAAUGCGGGUGAAAAGCCCGCACGCCGGAAGACCAAGGGUUCCUGUCCAACGUUAAUCGGGGCAGGGUGAGUCGACCCCUAAGGCGAGGCCGAAAGGCGUAGUCGAUGGGAAACAGGUUAAUAUUCCUGUACUUGGUGUUACUGCGAAGGGGGGACGGAGAAGGCUAUGUUAGCCGGGCGACGGUUGUCCCGGUUUAAGCAUGUAGGCGGAGGUUCCAGGUAAAUCCGGUACCUUUUUAACGCUGAGGUGUG
RNAcentral lists this ribosomal RNA (1143 nucleotides) under Klebsiella aerogenes. Its description in RNAcentral is "partial 23S ribosomal RNA". It matches the Rfam family "Bacterial large subunit ribosomal RNA", at positions 419 to 1565 of the family's 2925-position model. Lineage: Bacteria; Pseudomonadati; Pseudomonadota; Gammaproteobacteria; Enterobacterales; Enterobacteriaceae. The record is from RNAcentral.